GACGAACGCUGGCGGCGUGCCUAAUACAUGCAAGUAGAACGCACAGAUUAUACCGUAGCUUGCUACACCAUAGCCUGUGAGUUGCGAACGGGUGAGUAACGCGUAGGUAACCUGCCUGGUAGCGGGGGAUAACUAUUGGAAACGAUAGCUAAUACCGCAUAAUAUUGAUUAUUGCAUGAUAAUUAACUGAAAGGUGCAAUUGUACCACUACCAGAUGGACCUGCGUUGUAUUAGCUAGUAGGUUAGGUAACGGCUCACCUAGGCGACGAUACAUAGCCGACCUUGGAAGGUGAUCGGCCACACUGGGACCGGGACACGGCCCAGACUCCUUCGGGAGGCAGCAGUAGGGAAUCUUCGGCAAUGGACCAAAGUCUUACCGGGCAACGCCGCGGGAGGGAAUAAGGUUUUCGGAUCGUAAAGCUCUGUUGUAAGAGAAGAACGAGUGUGGGAGUUGAAAGUUCACACUUUGACGGUAUCUUACCAGAAAGGGACGGCUAACUACGUG
This 505-nucleotide ribosomal RNA is filed under the name uncultured bacterium. Its description in RNAcentral is "partial 16S ribosomal RNA". It matches the Rfam family "Bacterial small subunit ribosomal RNA", at positions 28 to 507 of the family's 1533-position model. The record is from RNAcentral.